AUUUAAAUAGUUUAAUUAAAAAUUUUAGUUUGUGAAUCUAAAGAUUUAUUUUGUAGUUUAGAUA
Molecule: transfer RNA, 64 nt
Filed under: Elateroidea sp. 2 KM-2017
Lineage: Eukaryota; Metazoa; Arthropoda; Insecta; Coleoptera
Description: tRNA-His
Source: RNAcentral